Molecule: ribosomal RNA, 1021 nt
Filed under: uncultured bacterium
Lineage: Bacteria
Description: bacterial SSU rRNA
Rfam family: Bacterial small subunit ribosomal RNA
Source: RNAcentral
AGUCGACGGGAUUGAGAGCUUGCUCUCAUGAGAGUGGCGCACGGGUGAGUAACGCGUAUGCAACCUACCUUUAACUGAGGGAUAGCCCAUAGAAAUGUGGAUUAAUACCUCAUAGUUCUUUUGAUCCGCAUGGAUUAAAAGAUAAAGCUCCGGCGGUUAAAGAUGGGCAUGCGUGACAUUAGCUAGUUGGUAAGGUAACGGCUUACCAAGGCUACGAUGUCUAGGGGUUCUGAGAGGAUGAUCCCCCACACUGGUACUGAGACACGGACCAGACUCCUACGGGAGGCAGCAGUGAGGAAUAUUGGUCAAUGGGCGCAAGCCUGAACCAGCCAUCCCGCGUGCAGGAUGAAGGCCCUAUGGGUCGUAAACUGCUUUUAUACACCAAGAAAAACACCCACGUGUGGGUGCCCGACGGUAGUGUAUGAAUAAGCAUCGGCUAACUCCGUGCCAGCAGCCGCGGUAAUACGGAGGAUGCAAGCGUUAUCCGGAUUCAUUGGGUUUAAAGGGUGCGUAGGCGGCUUUUUAAGUCAGUGGUGAAAUCUUGCCGCUUAACGGUAAAAUUGCCAUUGAUACUGAUAAGCUUGAGUACAAUUGAGGUAAGCGGAAUGUGUAGUGUAGCGGUGAAAUGCUUAGAUAUUACACAGAACACCGAUUGCGAAGGCAGCUUACUAAACUGUUACUGACGCUGAUGCACGAAAGCGUGGGGAGCGAACAGGAUUAGAUACCCUGGUAGUCCACGCCGUAAACGAUGAUCACUCGCUGUAUGCGAUACACAGUAUGCGGCCAAGCGAAAGCAUUAAGUGAUCCACCUGGGGAGUACGAUCGCAAGGUUGAAACUCGAAGGAAUUGACGGGGGCCCGCACAAGCGGAGGAACAUGUGGUUUAAUUCGAUGAUACGCGAGGAACCUUACCUGGGCUUAAAUGGGGAACGACAGCUGCCGAAAGGUGCCUUCUUCGGACGUUCUUCAAGGUGCUGCAUGGUUGUUCGUCAGCUCGUGCCGUGAGGUGUCGGGUUAAGUCC